UUGAACGCUGGCGGCAUGCCUUACACAUGCAAGUCGAACGGCAGCACGGGAGCAAUCCUGGUGGCGAGUGGCGAACGGGUGAGUAAUAUAUCGGAACGUGCCCAAUCGUGGGGGAUAACGCAGCGAAAGCUGUGCUAAUACCGCAUACGAUCUACGGAUGAAAGCGGGGGAUCGCAAGACCUCGCGCGGACGGAGCGGCCGAUGGCAGAUUAGGUAGUUGGUGGGAUAAAAGCUUACCAAGCCGACGAUCUGUAGCUGGUCUGAGAGGACGACCAGCCACACUGGGACUGAGACACGGCCCAGACUCCUACGGGAGGCAGCAGUGGGGAAUUUUGGACAAUGGGCGAAAGCCUGAUCCAGCCAUGCCGCGUGCAGGAUGAAGGCCUUCGGGUUGUAAACUGCUUUUGUACGGAACGAAAAAGUCUUCUCUAAUACAGGGGGCGAAUGACGGUACCGUAAGAAUAAGCACCGGCUAACUACGU
Molecule: ribosomal RNA, 482 nt
Filed under: uncultured bacterium
Lineage: Bacteria
Description: bacterial SSU rRNA
Rfam family: Bacterial small subunit ribosomal RNA
Source: RNAcentral